This 274-nucleotide ribosomal RNA is filed under the name uncultured bacterium. RNAcentral describes it as "partial 16S ribosomal RNA". It matches the Rfam family "Bacterial small subunit ribosomal RNA", at positions 523 to 796 of the family's 1533-position model. The record is from RNAcentral.
AUACGGAGGGUGCUAGCGUUGUUCGGAAUUACUGGGCGUAAAGAGCAUGUAGGCGGAUAGAUUAGUCAGAGGUGAAAGCCCCGAGCUCAACUCGGGAACUGCCUUUGAUACUGUUUAUCUAGAGACCGAGAGAGGUGAGUGGAAUUCUCAGUGUAGAGGUGAAAUUCGUAGAUAUUGGGAAGAACACCAGUGGCGAAGGCGGCUCACUGGCUCGGAACUGACGCUGAGAUGCGAAAGCGUGGGGAGCGAACAGGAUUAGAAACCCUAGUAGUCC